This 480-nucleotide long non-coding RNA is filed under the name Homo sapiens (human). RNAcentral describes it as "HSALNT0208106". Lineage: Eukaryota; Metazoa; Chordata; Mammalia; Primates; Hominidae. The record is from RNAcentral.
UUGGCCUAACUUACCUGAACCGUACUAUUGGUCUUGAAGGUGGCACUGUCAUCCCAUUAGCAGGCAGCAGGCCCUGCGAGCCUCCUGUGAUCAGCUAGAUUUCUCUGGGGAAUGAAACAGCUGCUGAUAGGGACUGACUUCCUCAGUCACAAGUGUUUCACAAGUGUGUUGGUUCAGAGGAGGGACCAGGCAGAAGGUGGUUGAGAGGCAGAGCUGCCCCUGAGUGAGCCAUGCAGAGGAUCUCCUCCCUCAUCCAUCUCUCUCUCUUCUGGGCAGGAGUCAUGUCAGCCAUUGAGUUGGUGCCUGAACACCAAACAGUGCCUGUGUCAAUAGGGGUCCCUGCCACCCUCAGGUGCUCCAUGAAAGGAGAAGCGAUCGGUAACUACUAUAUCAACUGGUACAGGAAGACCCAAGGCUCAGCCACUCAGCUUGCCCGUGCCCUCCCAUGGUGCUCAGAUAGGCAGCCCCCAGUGGGACAGA